Molecule: long non-coding RNA, 482 nt
Organism: Hipposideros armiger (great roundleaf bat)
Lineage: Eukaryota; Metazoa; Chordata; Mammalia; Chiroptera; Hipposideridae
Exons: 3
Source: RefSeq, a predicted model, not a curated record
UAAGUAGCUGCACAAGAGGGGUUGUGAAAUACUCAGAGGCAGAAAUAGGAAUCCGGGGCUUUUGUUUCAAUUGUGAAAAAUCUGAGGGGGCAAGAAGACAAAUCAGUGCUUUGAUUUCAUUUGGGUGAGGCUGAUAAAGCGCUGAACUACUGGGAGAGGAACACAGGUGGAAAUUCUUCAAGAAAAACCUGUUUUGGGCCUGGAAACAGUCCGUGAGUCUCUAGUUUGGGACCAUGUCUGAAAAAAGAUGAAAUUCUGUGUAAAACUGACACCUGGUAUUUAUUAUGAUGGAAUCCAUUUCUCAAGGCUCCUGGAAGUCAAAGAAGUUGCUGAAGCCCAACAUAUCAUUUCUCUCCAGCUGUCCCCAAUGACUUGUGGAUACCAUUUCCUAAUAUUCUGUGGUUUGAAGAUUUGUUACAAAAAUUCAUGCUGGACUAGAUUUAAUACCCAAAUUAGGAUGUAUAAUUUCAAUAAAUCUCAAU